CAAGUCGGACGGGAUUUAGGAGCUUGCUUCUAAUGAGAGUGGCGCACGGGUGCGUAACACGUAUGUAACCUACCUUCACCAGGGGGAUAGCCUCUCGAAAGAGAGAUUAAGACCGCAUAACAUUAUUGAAUAGCAUUAUUUAAUAAUCAAAUAUUUAUAGGGUGAAGAUGGGCAUGCGGAACAUUAGCUAGUUGGUAAGGUAACGGCUUACCAAGGCUACGAUGUUUAGGGGAUCUGAGAGGAUGACCCCCCACACUGGUACUGAGACACGGACCAGACUCCUACGGGAGGCAGCAGUAAGGAAUAUUGGUCAAUGGGCGGAAGCCUGAACCAGCCAUGCCGCGUGCAGGAAGACGGCCCUACGGGUUGUAAACUGCUUUUAUACGGGAAUAAACCUCGAUACGUGUAUCGAGCUGAAUGUACUGUAAGAAUAAGGAUCGGCUAACUCCGUGCCAGCAGCCGCGGUAAUACGGAGGAUCCAAGCGUUAUCCGGAUUUAUUGGGUUUAAAGGGUGCGUAGGUGGCCUGUUAAGUCAGGGGUGAAAGACGGUAGCUCAACUAUCGCAGUGCCCUUGAUACUGAUGGGCUUGAAUGAACUAGAGGUAGGCGGAAUGUGACAAGUAGCGGUGAAAUGCAUAGAUAUGUCACAGAACACCAAUUGCGAAGGCAGCUUACUAUGGUUUGAUUGACACUGAGGCACGAAAGCGUGGGGAUCAAACAGGAUUAGAUACCCUGGUAGUCCACGCCCUAAACGAUGAAUACUCGAUGUUGGCGAUAUACGGUCAGCGUCUAAGCGAAAGCGUUAAGUAUUCCACCUGGGGAGUACGCCCGCAAGGGUGAAACUCAAAGGAAUUGACGGGGGCCCGCACAAGCGGAGGAGCAUGUGGUUUAAUUCGAUGAUACGCGAGGAA
This 910-nucleotide ribosomal RNA is filed under the name uncultured Sphingobacteriia bacterium. RNAcentral's name for it is "bacterial SSU rRNA". It matches the Rfam family "Bacterial small subunit ribosomal RNA", at positions 58 to 968 of the family's 1533-position model. The record is from RNAcentral. Lineage: Bacteria; Pseudomonadati; Bacteroidota; Sphingobacteriia.